AAUAUUGGACAAUGGGCGAAAGCCUGAUCCAGCCAGGCCGCGUGUGUGAAGAAGGUCNNNGGAUUNUCAAGCACUUUAAGUUGNGAANAAGGGCAGUAAGUUAAUACCUUGCUGCUUUGCCGUUACCGACAGACUAAGCACCGGCUAACUUCGUGCCAGCAGCCGAGGUAAUACGAAGGGUGCAAGCGUGAAUCGGAAUUACGGGGCGUAAAGCGCGCGUGGGUGGUUCGUUAAGUUGGAAGUGAAAGCCCCGGGCUUAACCUAGGAAUUGCUUUCAAAACUGACGAGCUAGAGUACGGUAGAGGGUAGUGGAAUUUCCUGUGUAGCGGUGGAAUGCGUAGAUAUAGGAAGGAACAUCAGUGGCGAAGGCGACUACCUGGACUGAUACUGACACUGAGGUGCGAAAGCGUGGGGAGCAAACAGG
RNAcentral lists this ribosomal RNA (424 nucleotides) under uncultured bacterium. RNAcentral describes it as "partial 16S ribosomal RNA". It matches the Rfam family "Bacterial small subunit ribosomal RNA", at positions 360 to 776 of the family's 1533-position model. The record is from RNAcentral.